AGUCGAAUGCCGAUUUAUCGGCAUGGCAGACGGCUGAGUAACACAUGGGAAUCUACCUCAAACUCGAGAAUAGCCCAUCGAAAGGUGGUGUAAUACUCGAUAGUUCCGUUUACGGUAAAGCUCCGGCGGUUUGAGAUGAGCCCAUGUCCUAUCAGGUUGUUGGUGGGGUAAUUGCCUACCAAGCCUAUGACGGGUAGCUGGUUUGAGAGGAUGAUCAGCCAGACUGGGACUGCGAUACGGCCCAGACUCCUACGGGAGGCAGCAACUAGGAAUCAUGCGCAAUGGACGAAAGUCUGACGCUGCGACGUCGCGUGAGGGAUGAAGGUCUUAGGAUCGUAAACCUCUUUUAUCUGGGAACAAGUUCUGAGUGUACCAGAUGAAUAAGUGCCUGCCAACCACGUGCCAGAAGCAUCGGUAAUGCGUGGGGCACGAGCGUUAUCCGGAUUUACUGGGCGUAAAGAGAUGCGUAGGCGCCUUUUUAAGUCACUUGUAAAAUCUCCCCGCUCAACGGGGAAACUGCAAGUGAUACUGAAUUGGUUGAGUCAAGUAGAGGAGAGGGGAAUUCCUGGUGGAGCGGUUAAAUGCGUUGAUAUCAGGAGGAAUACCAAGUGCGAAGGCACCUCUCUGGACUUGUACUGACGCUAAGGCUCGAAAGUGUGGGGAGCAAAACGGAUUAGAUACCCGUGUAGUCCACACUGUAAACGAUCCCUGCUAGA
Molecule: ribosomal RNA, 716 nt
Filed under: uncultured organism
Description: bacterial SSU rRNA
Rfam family: Bacterial small subunit ribosomal RNA
Source: RNAcentral